GGUAGCCUGUACCGAUCGUCCUGGUCGCCGUUUCAUCGUAUUAAUCCCUGUGUAACAAUUUCUUCUGACCGCUGCUGUUGCUGCUGCUGAUGCUGUUGCUGUUGCUGCUGCUGAUGCUGCUGCUGAUGCAGCUGCUGAUGCUGCUGCAGCUGCUGAUGCUGCUGCUGAUGCUGCUGCUGCUGUUGCUGCUGCUGCUGCUGCUGCUGCUGCUGCUGCUGCAGUUGUUGUUCCGACAGCUCAACGACCGUAAUGCCGGCGUCCGGACUGCAGCCGAUC
Molecule: non-coding RNA, 276 nt
Organism: Cinara cedri
Lineage: Eukaryota; Metazoa; Arthropoda; Insecta; Hemiptera; Aphididae
Source: the annotation of a GenBank genome assembly